Molecule: ribosomal RNA, 482 nt
Filed under: uncultured bacterium
Lineage: Bacteria
Description: partial 16S ribosomal RNA
Rfam family: Bacterial small subunit ribosomal RNA
Source: RNAcentral
AUUGAACGCUGGCGGCAUGCCUUACACAUGCAAGUCGAACGGUAACAGGUCUUCGGAUGCUGACGAGUGGCGAACGGGUGAGUAAUACAUCGGAACGUGCCCGAUCGUGGGGGAUAACGGAGCGAAAGCUUUGCUAAUACCGCAUACGAUCUACGGAUGAAAGCAGGGGACCGCAAGGCCUUGCGCGGACGGAGCGGCCGAUGGCCGAUUAGGUAGUUGGUGGGAUAAAAGCUUACCAAGCCGACGAUCUGUAGCUGGUCUGAGAGGACGACCAGCCACACUGGGACUGAGACACGGCCCAGACUCCUACGGGAGGCAGCAGUGGGGAAUUUUGGACAAUGGGCGAAAGCCUGAUCCAGCCAUGCCGCGUGCAGGAUGAAGGCCUUCGGGUUGUAAACUGCUUUUGUACGGAACGAAAAGACUCUUUCUAAUAAAGAGGGUCCAUGACGGUACCGUAAGAAUAAGCACCGGCUAACUACGUG